AACCCAUGUUGAGGACAUUUCCGUAGGAGCUCCUUGAACCUAUCCGAUGUCUCAAAUAGAGACUCCAAUUCUGUUUGCACAAAAGAGGAUAUUUCAUUCCUAAGCUU
This is a small nucleolar RNA of Dioscorea cayenensis subsp. rotundata (Guinea yam), 107 nucleotides long. The record is from RefSeq and is a predicted model, not a curated record. Lineage: Eukaryota; Viridiplantae; Streptophyta; Magnoliopsida; Dioscoreales; Dioscoreaceae.